This 444-nucleotide ribosomal RNA is filed under the name uncultured bacterium. RNAcentral describes it as "partial 16S ribosomal RNA". It matches the Rfam family "Bacterial small subunit ribosomal RNA", at positions 339 to 795 of the family's 1533-position model. The record is from RNAcentral.
CUACGGGCCGCUCCAGUGGGGAAUAUUGCACAAUGGGCGCAAGCCUGAUGCAGCAACGCCGCGUGAGGGAUGAAGGCCUUCGGGUUGUAAACCUCUUUUAGCAGGGAAGAAGCGAAAGUGACGGUACCUGCAGAAAAAGCACCGGCUAACUACGUGCCAGCGGCCGCGGUAAUACGUAGGGUGCAAGCGUUGUCCGGAAUUAUUGGGCGUAAAGAGCUCGUAGGCGGUUUGUCACGUCUGCUGUGAAAAUCCAAGGCUCAACCUUGGACUUGCAGUGGGUACGGGCAGGCUAGAGUGCGGUAGGGGAGAUGGGAAUUCCUGGUGUAGCGGUGGAAUGCGCAGAUAUCAGGAGGAACACCAAUGGCGAAGGCACAUCUCUGGGCCGUAACUGACGCUGAGGAGCGAAAGCGUGGGGAGCGAACAGGAUUAGAUACCCGGGUAGUC